UAGAAAUGGAUUUGUCUUUUCUCACUGGUGUACUCUAUUUGGCAGUUCAUUGUAACAUCUACAUUACGUGAUUGCAGGUCGGAUAGGUAAACAGGAAUUGAUGCUAUUAUCUUUUUAUUUGUUCUCCGUUAGAUGUUUUGACUAUGGUUGGUGCACUCAUCUUAUGUUAGUAUGAGUCCCUGUGUUGGAUGAUAUGCAGAAUGCUAGACUACGAAGAUAGUAAACGUUAUGCACAGUUCUUCCAUUUUCUUAUUUUAGUCUGGAAGAACGUAAACUUCUAUGGUAGAUUGUAUAGACAUUCGUCGUUUUAUCCUGUUGAAAUAACAGCUAAUUUUGUUUAUAUU
This 344-nucleotide long non-coding RNA is filed under the name Nicotiana benthamiana. RNAcentral's name for it is "long non-coding RNA (NBEN_LNC001962)". The record is from RNAcentral. Lineage: Eukaryota; Viridiplantae; Streptophyta; Magnoliopsida; Solanales; Solanaceae.